CCAUAUGUUACAGUGUAGCACUUCCAUCAAACACUACUCUUAAUUUAGUGCUGAUAUUCUCUGGUCGCACUACAGCAUGAUGAGGUCAUAUGAUUGUGUGA
Molecule: long non-coding RNA, 101 nt
Organism: Melitaea cinxia (Glanville fritillary)
Lineage: Eukaryota; Metazoa; Arthropoda; Insecta; Lepidoptera; Nymphalidae
Exons: 3
Source: RefSeq, a predicted model, not a curated record